AGUGAACGCUAGCGGCAGGCCUAACACAUGCAAGUCGAGGGGUAACAUAGAGAAGCUUGCUUUUCUGAUGACGACCGGCGCACGGGUGAGUAACGCGUAUGCAACCUGCCUCUUACUGGAGGAUAGCCCUAAGAAAUUGGGAUUAAUACUUCGUAGUAUGUAUCAUUCGCAUGUUUGAUACAUUAAAGGUUACGGUAAGAGAUGGGCAUGCGUCCUAUUAGCUAGAUGGUAAGGUAACGGCUUACCAUGGCGACGAUAGGUAGGGGGCCUGAGAGGGUGAUCCCCACACUGGUACUGAGACACGGACCAGACUCCUACGGGAGGCAGCAGUGAGGAAUAUUGGACAAUGGGCGCAAGCCUGAUCCAGCCAUGCCGCGUGCAGGAAGAAUGCCCUAUGGGUUGUAAACUGCUUUUAUUUGGGAAUAAACCCCUCUACGUGUAGAGGGCUGAAUGUACCAAACGAAUAAGCACCGGCUAACUCCGUG
Molecule: ribosomal RNA, 485 nt
Filed under: uncultured bacterium
Lineage: Bacteria
Description: bacterial SSU rRNA
Rfam family: Bacterial small subunit ribosomal RNA
Source: RNAcentral